CGGCCAGACCGCCGGGCCCGCCGGUGCCGCCGUUGCCGCCGGCGGCGCCCUGGUCGCCGGUGGCGCCGACCCCGCCCUGGCCGCC
This 85-nucleotide transfer RNA is filed under the name Mycobacterium conspicuum. RNAcentral describes it as "tRNA-Gly". Lineage: Bacteria; Bacillati; Actinomycetota; Actinomycetes; Mycobacteriales; Mycobacteriaceae. The record is from RNAcentral.